This 74-nucleotide transfer RNA is filed under the name Lentisphaerota bacterium. RNAcentral describes it as "Lentisphaerae bacterium (feces metagenome) tRNA-Cys". It matches the Rfam family "tRNA". From Rfam's summary of the family: Transfer RNA (tRNA) molecules are approximately 80 nucleotides in length. Their secondary structure includes four short double-helical elements and three loops (D, anti-codon, and T loops). RNAcentral also lists the same sequence under 2 other names. Lineage: Bacteria; Pseudomonadati; Lentisphaerota. The record is from RNAcentral.
GGUGGGAUGGCCGAGCGGUUAGGUUACGGACUGCAAAUCCGUCUACAGCGGUUCAACUCCGCUUCCCACCUCCA